Molecule: ribosomal RNA, 468 nt
Filed under: uncultured bacterium
Lineage: Bacteria
Description: partial 16S ribosomal RNA
Rfam family: Bacterial small subunit ribosomal RNA
Source: RNAcentral
GACGAACGCUGGCGGCGUGCUUAACACAUGCAAGUCGAACGGAAAGGCCCUGCUUUUGUUGGUUGCUCGAGUGGCGAAGGGGUGAGUAACACGUGAGUAACCUGCCCUUGACUUUUGUAUAACUUCACGAAACUGGGGCUAAUCCCGUAUAGGAUCUCCUGCUUCAUGGUGGUGGUUGGUAAGUUUCGGCGGUUGUGUCUGGACUCGCGGCUUAUCCGCUUGUUGGUCGGGUAGUGGCUUACCAAGGCUUCGACGGGUAGCCGGCAUGAGAGGGUGACCGGCCACACUGGGACUGAGAUAGGGCCCAGAAGGGGACGGGAGGCAACAGUGGGGAAUAUUGCAGAGUGGGGGGAAGGCGGAUGCAGAGAAGGCGGGUGCGGGAUGACGGCCUUAGGGUUGUGAACCGCUUUGGCCUGUGAUGAAGCGGGAGUGACGGUAAUGGGUAAAGAAGCACCGGCUAACUACGUG